This is an unclassified non-coding RNA of Oryctolagus cuniculus (rabbit), 296 nucleotides long. It matches the Rfam family "Metazoan signal recognition particle RNA". From Rfam's summary of the family: The signal recognition particle (SRP) is a universally conserved ribonucleoprotein. It is involved in the co-translational targeting of proteins to membranes. The eukaryotic SRP consists of a 300-nucleotide 7S RNA and six proteins: SRPs 72, 68, 54, 19, 14, and 9. NCBI's taxonomy places the organism in Eukaryota, Metazoa, Chordata, Mammalia, Lagomorpha, Leporidae. The record is from Ensembl.
GCCGGGCAUGGUGGAGAGCACCUGUAGUCCCAGCUACUCGGGAGGCUAAGGCCAGAGGAUCACUUGAGUCCAGGAGUUCUGGGCUGUUGUGAGCUAUGCCAAUCGGGUGUCCCCACUAAGUUCAGCAUCAAUAUGGUGACCUCCCGGGAGUGGGGGACCACCAGGUUGCCGAAGGAGGGGUGAACCGGCCGGGGUGAACCGGAAACAGAGCAGGUCAAAACUCCCGUGCUGAUCAGAACUGGAUUAUGUGGUGUACCAUUUCCAUGUCUGCUUCCUUUCACAGAUUCUUGUUUUAC